AUCCGUCGGCGAGCGAACCGGA
Molecule: small RNA, 22 nt
Filed under: Arabidopsis thaliana (thale cress)
Lineage: Eukaryota; Viridiplantae; Streptophyta; Magnoliopsida; Brassicales; Brassicaceae
Description: ATSL140590
Source: RNAcentral